This 361-nucleotide long non-coding RNA is filed under the name Brassica napus (rape). RNAcentral describes it as "long non-coding RNA (BNAP_LNC001727)". The record is from RNAcentral. Lineage: Eukaryota; Viridiplantae; Streptophyta; Magnoliopsida; Brassicales; Brassicaceae.
UAAUAAUGGUCAUCAAUCUCAGGAUUAUUAUCAACAACUUUUGUAACAUAAUCUGGACAUAAACAGAAAAUCAUCCUGCAGUUUUUGAUGGAAUGAAUAGACGCGAGAAUAAGCUACUCGACAUUUCACUCAGAAUAACACAGACACAAGGAAGUCCAGAAACUAAAACUUUGAUAUUUCAUUAGUAGCAUUUUUUUUUGACAUUAGUAGCUUAUGUUGAGUGUGACUUAUUAUCCUGUGUAUUUAUUCCAAGUUUACUGCAAUAAUUUCAUUAAACCUUUAGUAGUCAUUUACUAAUUAUUAAGGAUAUUUACUUAAAACUCCUCAACUAAGUUUGUUUAGGGUAAAAAAACCCUCAAAC